This 253-nucleotide ribosomal RNA is filed under the name uncultured bacterium. RNAcentral describes it as "partial 16S ribosomal RNA". It matches the Rfam family "Bacterial small subunit ribosomal RNA", at positions 524 to 776 of the family's 1533-position model. The record is from RNAcentral.
UACGUAGGGGGCAAGCGUUGUCCGGAUUUAUUGGGCGUAAAGCGCGUGUAGGCGGCCACGCAGGUCCGCUGUGAAAACUCGAGGCUCAACCUCGAGCUGUCGGUGGAAACCGCGUGGCUAGAGUCCGGAAGAGGGGACUGGAAUUCCCGGUGUAGCGGUGGAAUGCGCAGAUAUCGGGAGGAACACCCGUGGCGAAGGCGGGUCCCUGGGACGGUACUGACGCUGAGGCGCGAAAGCCAGGGGAGCGAAUGGG